RNAcentral lists this transfer RNA (63 nucleotides) under Echinogammarus veneris. RNAcentral describes it as "tRNA-Asp". The record is from RNAcentral. Lineage: Eukaryota; Metazoa; Arthropoda; Malacostraca; Amphipoda; Gammaridae.
AAAGUAUUAGUUAAAUAAAAUAACAUUAACUUGUCAAAUUAAAAUUACUUACAGUAUACUUUA